Fomes fomentarius is the source of this 101-nucleotide non-coding RNA. Lineage: Eukaryota; Fungi; Basidiomycota; Agaricomycetes; Polyporales; Polyporaceae. The record is from the annotation of a GenBank genome assembly.
GGCCCAAUGGUCUAGUAGUAUGAUACGCGCUUCGGGUCUUGAUAGCCCCCUUUUCUAGGGAUGAUUGCGCGGGGUCCCGGGUUCAAUUCCCGGUUGGGCCC